CCUACGGGAGGCAGCAGUAGGGAAUCUUCCACAAUGGGCGCAAGCCUGAUGGAGCAACACCGCGUGAGUGAAGAAGGGUUUCGGCUCGUAAAGCUCUGUUGUUGGAGAAGAACGUGCGUGAGAGUAACUGUUCACGCAGUGACGGUAUCCAACCAGAAAGUCACGGCUAACUACGUGCCAGCAGCCGCGGUAAUACGUAGGUGGCAAGCGUUAUCCGGAUUUAUUGGGCGAAAAGCGAGCGCAGGCGGUUGCUUAGGUCUGAUGUGAAAGCCUUCGGCUUAACCGGAGAAGUGCAUCGGAAACCGGGCAACUUGAGUGCAGAAGAGGACAGUGGAACUCCAUGUGUAGCGGUGGAAUGCGUAGAUAUAUGGAAGAACACCAGUGGCGAAGGCGGCUGUCUGGUCUGCAACUGACGCUGAGGCUCGAAAGCAUGGGUAGCGAACAGGAUUAGAUACCCCAGUAGUC
RNAcentral lists this ribosomal RNA (465 nucleotides) under uncultured bacterium. RNAcentral describes it as "partial 16S ribosomal RNA". It matches the Rfam family "Bacterial small subunit ribosomal RNA", at positions 338 to 795 of the family's 1533-position model. The record is from RNAcentral.